UUGAGCUACGAGCAAAGCAAUCAGAAAGGCAAUGUGUGUGUGUUUGACUGUGUCCAUGUGUGUGUGUUUUAUUGCAGACUUGGAGUGACCUUCUUACCACAGAGGAUGUGGGAGUGAGGGGAAAGAGACAGUUCUUUGCUCUUCGUGUGUCUUAAAGAGCAGUCUCUCGAUCAGAUAAAAGAGCCCAAAAAAUAAACAGUGGAAAAAUCCAGCCUUGUUAUAUCCUUGGUGUUCAGGGUCUCUCUAAAGUCUGAAUGACCUCGAGAAGAUAAGUUGUUGUCAAUCAAAUCCUACUACAACAGCUGUGCUCAGGAUGCGUGCCAUCAGAUAUUUAUGCCAGGCAGCAGUGCAACCAUUUCCUCAUAUCUGGCUUCUCUAAUUUAUGCAUUUCUACCCUUCUGGUUUGAAAAACAGGCUGAAUCCAGUGGAAUCUUUCUGGUUGCUUUGAAGUUGAAAUAGCAAUGGGCAGAACCAUAUUGACCAGACCCUGCUCACUGUGACUCCACAGUCCUGCACUUUCUGAACCCUGCACUUUAACCCAUGACCCUUCCCUCCAAUCGGAUAAGUUGCCGACGUCACAGUUUCACAAAAAAUUGUGAGGUUGCAGAGUUCAGUAUCAUACAGCUACGGGGCUUUUGGCCGUCUUUCAGCAUCUGAAAGAGCAUCCAAAUCCACUCUGUGGCUGUAGGCUUACAUAGCAAAACACAGGGCGGCGAGCUCGUGACUCCUGGAGGAAAUUGCUGAGGGCACAGGAAACCCACAGCUAAACACAGGUUCUCACGGUGUAUUAAUGAGCCCCUGACUGAGAGAUGAGCACUUUAUACCACAGAGCCGAUACCAAGAGCAGUCGACGGCCAGCCAAGUGUGGGAGGUUGCUGGAGCCCUGACACGGGGUUCGAAAGGUCUCGUAGGUGAAGUCUGCGUCGCUGCUGGUUUUGCUCUGACGCAGCAUCAGGAGAAACUCCAGUCCUUGUGCUACAUUUCAGAAGCAAAACAUCAACAGAGGCAGUUCUAUACAAGCAUCGUAAAAACAAGAGUAAUAGUAAGAGAGGGGGGAAUGUGGUUACACUACAACAUAACCAAAAUCAUGUGUGUGGUUUUAUGAAGUUAGACAGCCCAAUAAUGAUGGAGUAUUAAAUGAUUGUAGCGCCAUGGUUUGAUGGUUUGAGCGUGGGGGGGUGAAGGGAACAUGGGGGUGUGUGGGCACAUAUGAAAAAGCCAGCCUUCUCCCAUGAACUCCUCUGGCACCCAGAACUUGGAUUUCGCAAACGCGUCCAACCUACUACAACCACCCCUUCCCUUCUAUUGUCACUACUGGUGCCUAAAAUAACUCAUGUUCCUAAAGGAGGCACGUUUUCUGCUGGGUUUUCAAAUACUACAGUGUUGUUCUGCUGGCACUAGGAAAACAGGAGAGGUUAGGGAGGUCACCCUCUGGGCUAACAGGAGCCACUGCCAUGUUUAGAUGCUGCAACAACCACGAUAUAUAACCACUGGACCGUCUGUGGACACACAGCCUUAAUGAGGUGGUCCAACCGUAGCAUAUAACAUUAUCCCAUUGUGCAUGUUUUUAGAGAACGCUGUUGCAAGUGGAUUAUAAUAGAGCACGAAGAGGAAUUAAUAGCAUUCUCAUAUUUUUUUUUAGAUGCAUAGCUAAAGUGACAUUGCUUGGCAUUUCCACAGCUAGACGAUGCGCAAACUGUAGAAUCACUUUUUCAGUCACUGAAAGCUGCAGUAAUCAACACUGAGAGUUAGAAGUGUAUCAUAAACUAUGUUUAAUGGUAGAAGUGGAUCCUCGGAAAGGAAAAAAUAGGAGAGUAAUUUGCCAGUUAAUGUUUGGGUUUUAGGCCCAUAGUGCUCGUGUUGUGAUUCAUUCCUACAAUGCUUAUCGAGUUACCAGCUUGAAUUAGCUUUUUUAGGAAAAAAAAAGCUUUGACAAAGUAACAUGUCCAGAGCUAAGUUAGUAACAGGCGGGUAAAUAGAGUGAUACAUGUAAUAGCUAGGUAGACAAAUAUUACCCUCUGAGUUUUUGAAACCAAAACAGAGCUAAUAUUGGCCUUUCAUUCAUUGGGUGGUCAGAAACAGGACCCAAAGUAAAUGUUAGCAUUCAUCUGUCACUGCUAGAUAUGGAAUAUAUGUUGUAAAUGUGGUCUGCAAAGCAAGUGUCACAGUCACUGUGUGGCUAAAAAUCGAUUAAUAUAGCUUUAAAUAAAUAGUUUGACAUUUUAGAACUUGUGUUUACUCUCUUUCUUCAACACC
Long non-coding RNA from Haplochromis burtoni (Burton's mouthbrooder), 2256 nucleotides. RefSeq lists it as uncharacterized. The record is from RefSeq and is a predicted model, not a curated record. The transcript is spliced from 3 exons. NCBI's taxonomy places the organism in Eukaryota, Metazoa, Chordata, Actinopteri, Cichliformes, Cichlidae.